This 253-nucleotide ribosomal RNA is filed under the name uncultured bacterium. Its description in RNAcentral is "partial 16S ribosomal RNA". It matches the Rfam family "Bacterial small subunit ribosomal RNA", at positions 524 to 776 of the family's 1533-position model. The record is from RNAcentral.
UACGAAGGGGGCUAGCGUUGUUCGGAGUUACUGGGCGUAAAGCGUGCGUAGGCGGUGUCUUAAGUUUGUUGUGAAAUCUCCCGGCUUAACCGGGAGGGUGCGGCGAAUACUGAGAUGCUGGAGUGCGGGAGAGGUAAGCGGAAUUCCUGGUGUAGCGGUGAAAUGCGUAGAUAUCAGGAGGAACACCUGCGGUGUAGACGGCUUACUGGACCGUAACUGACGCUGAGGCACGAAAGCGUGGGUAGCAAACAGG